GGGUGUCACUAAUCUUGUAGGAUAUUCGAAGCGUUUCAGAUAGCCACGCGAUAGUAAGACCCUUAGACCCUUUAUGUGGAAAUUGUUUUCUUUAUCUUGGAAAGCACAUAUAUGGAUUCUUAGAAAUAUUACGAAGUCGGCUAACUGAUGAUUUACACUUUCUUGGUCCUCGCAAGCAAUCUUAUCUUUUUCCUCGCUACAUCAAACAGGUUUGAGAUCGUUCUCUUUUAGAAGAAUUUUUAAGAGAAAUCUCUUUUUUCCGCAGCAGUCAUCGCAUUAAAUAGACACUUUGGGCUUGAAUUAAUUCUCCCUAAAAUUUUGCCCGCUAAUGGAGGAGUUUAGAGAAACAUGAAAAUAAUUAAUCAUAUAUCAUGAUCUGUCAUCGGCAUUCGAAUUAUCGCUGGUCUUCAAGAUUCCGACUAGACGGAAUUUCCUUCCUGUUGUUGGCUGCUUUCGAACGUUAAAGUAUUUUCUGCAGGCAUGCUUUUAUCUAUGGUUUACUGCCGCGAUUGGAAAGUUCUUUGUCAACUCAGACUUUACUGCAGAGGAGGAUUAUUGUGAAUUUUCAUCGCAAAAUGAUAUUUAUUGUGGAACUUGCAGACUCAAUUUUUUCCAACAGCGCUAUUGCAAAAUAUGCGGAGUUAAAAAAAAAUGAUUUCUUUUUCUAUAUAUAUGUAUGAAAAAUCACUUACCGCAUUAUUGAAAGAAUAUUGAAUUUAAAAGAAUCGUCAUCAAAAAAUCAAUACAGAAGAGGAUUCUCAUAGAAUCAUGGUGGAAUCCUCAUGGAACUAUGUUGCUAGAGAAUAUCAUUGUAAGACUUCAUUGCAGAAGAGGUUCACUCUAUGGAAUUUAAGUAAAGAAUAGGUUCAUCAUGGGAUUUCAUUGCAUAAGAGGAUAAUUAUGGGAUUUCGUCACAGUAGAGGAUUAUUAUGGGACUUUGUCGCAGAAGAGGAUUAUCAAGGGAAGACGCCGAAGACGGUCAUUAUGGAAUUUCGACGCACCAUGAGUCUUAAUUGUAGAAGAGAAUCAUUGUAGGACUUUAUCACAGAAGAGGAUCGUUGUAGGAUUUCAUCGCAGAAGAGGAUCACUGUGGGACUUUAUCGCAGAAGAAGAUUAUCAUGAGACUUCAUUACAGAAGAGGAUCAUCGUGGGACUACAUUGUGGAACUGGAUCGUCGUGGGACUUCGUCGUAGAAGAGGAUUAUUAUGGGGCUCCGUCGCAGAAGAGGAUCAUCAAGAGAAUCGCCGAAGACGGUCAUUAUGAAACUUCGUCGCACCCUGAGUCUUAAUUUAGAAGAGGAUAAUUGUAGGACUUCAUCGCAGAAAAGGACCACUGUGGGACUUCAUCGCAGAAGAAGAUCGUUGUGGGACUUCAUCACAGAAGAAGAUUAUCAUGGGACUUCAUCGCAGAAGAGGAUUACUGCGGAUCUCAAUUAUAGAAGAGGAUCGUCGUUGCAAAAAAGGAUCAUUGUGGGAUUUUAUUGCAGAAGAUAAUUAUUAUGAAACUUUAUCACAGAAACGGAUUCAUCAUUGAACUUUGUUGCAGAUAAACAGUUCUAAUUAUUUGUGGUAAAGCAAGAUCACUGCAGAAUAUCUCUCUUGUCACAGAACAGAAUCAUCACACAUCAUCUUUGUAUAUCUCUGAACAAAAUUAUUGUAGGAUUUUAUCGAAAAGGGAAUUAUCGUGAAAUAUAGUUGCUGCGGAGUAUAGCGAGAUUUCAUUA
This is a long non-coding RNA of Formica exsecta, 1723 nucleotides long. RefSeq lists it as uncharacterized. Lineage: Eukaryota; Metazoa; Arthropoda; Insecta; Hymenoptera; Formicidae. The record is from RefSeq and is a predicted model, not a curated record. The transcript has 2 exons.